Molecule: long non-coding RNA, 436 nt
Organism: Salvia miltiorrhiza (redroot sage)
Lineage: Eukaryota; Viridiplantae; Streptophyta; Magnoliopsida; Lamiales; Lamiaceae
Exons: 2
Source: RefSeq, a predicted model, not a curated record
GUGGUAAAUAUUUGGAGUGGAAGCCAUCAUUUUUCACACAAGGCUGUGCCAGAUAGGAUUCCAAAAUAUUGAAUAAUAUCUUACCACAGACGCGUGAAAAUGUACCAUAUUUGUGACAAACACGGAGAGAAGUUGGUGCUGGCUAACCGAUUCAUUCGUAUAAAAAAACCAAUAGCAGCAGCAUGGAAUGGAUAGAUGCAUGGUGUCAAAAUUGAAUAAAUGCAAGAUUGGCCCAUUAAAUUUGUGAUGGCAAGGAUGUGCAGAAGCCAGCCAAGAGUAAAGGGUACAUAUGAUCAUAGGCCCAUCAUGUGCUUCUGCUAACAUGCACAGGUAGGUUGUGAUAGAUACACUAGUACUUCUAACUCAUCACACACCACUCAAAUUCCUAUUCUACAUCAUAAACUUCCUCUUAUAUAUUUUCACUCUUUCAUUUUGU